CAGGCUUAUCACAUGCAAGUCGAGGGGCAGCACAGGUAGCAAUACCGGGUGGCGACCGGCGCACGGGUGAGUAACGCGUAUGCAACUUGCCUAUCAGAGGGGGAUAACCCGGCGAAAGUCGGACUAAUACCGCAUGAAGCAGGGAUCCCGCAUGGGAAUAUUUGCUAAAGAUUCAUCGCUGAUAGAUAGGCAUGCGUUCCAUUAGGCAGUUGGCGGGGUAACGGCCCACCAAACCGACGAUGGAUAGGGGUUCUGAGAGGAAGGUCCCCCACAUUGGUACUGAGACACGGACCAAACUCCUACGGGAGGCAGCAGUGAGGAAUAUUGGUCAAUGGGCGUAAGCCUGAACCAGCCAAGUCGCGUGAGGGAUGAAGGUUCUAUGGAUCGUAAACCUCUUUUAUAAGGGAAUAAAGUGCGGGACGUGUCCCGUUUUGUAUGUACCUUAUGAAUAAGGAUCGGCUAACUCCGUGCCAGCAGCCGCGGUAAUACGGAGGAUCCGAGCGUUAUCCGGAUUUAUUGGGUUUAAAGGGUGCGUAGGCGGCCUUUUAAGUCAGCGGUGAAAGUCUGUGGCUCAACCAUAGAAUUGCCGUUGAAACUGGGGGGCUUGAGUAUGUUUGAGGCAGGCGGAAUGCGUGGUGUAGCGGUGAAAUGCAUAGAUAUCACGCAGAACCCCGAUUGCGAAGGCAGCCUGCCAAGCCAUUACUGACGCUGAUGCACGAAAGCGUGGGGAUCAAACAGGAUUAGAUACCCUGGUAGUCCACGCAGUAAACGAUGAUCACUAGCUGUUUGCGAUACACUGUAAGCGGCACAGCGAAAGCGUUAAGUGAUCCACCUGGGGAGUACGCCGGCAACGGUGAAACUCAAAGGAAUUGACGGGGGCCCGCACAAGCGGAGGAACAUGUGGUUUAAUUCGAUGAUACGCGAGGAACCUUACCCGGGUUUGAACGCAUUCGGACCGAGGUGGAAACACCUUUUCUAGCAAUAGCCGUUUGCGAGGUGCUGCAUGGUUGUCGCCAGCUCGUGCCGUGAGGUGUCGGCUUAAGUGCCAUAACGAGCGCAACCCUUGCCACUAGUUACUAACAGGUAAAGCUGAGGACUCUGGUGGGACUGCCAGCGUAAGCUGCGAGGAAGGCGGGGAUGACGUCAAAUCAGCACGGCCCUUACAUCCGGGGCGACACACGUGUUACAAUGGCGUGGACAAAGGGAAGCCACCUGGCGACAGGGAGCGAAUCCCCAAACCACGUCUCAGUUCGGAUCGGAGUCUGCAACCCGACUCCGUGAAGCUGGAUUCGCUAGUAAUCGCGCAUCAGCCAUGGCGCGGUGAAUACGUUCCCGGGCCUUGUACACACCGCCCGUCAAGCCAUGGGAGCCGGGGGUACCUGAAGUCCGUAACCGAGAGGAUCGGCCUAGGGUAAAACUGGUGACUGGGGC
Molecule: ribosomal RNA, 1431 nt
Filed under: uncultured organism
Description: 16S ribosomal RNA
Rfam family: Bacterial small subunit ribosomal RNA
Source: RNAcentral